CUUGAGACUUGUGCGUUCAAUGGUUAGUAUUAUAAUUUUUGUAAUGAUAUAUAUAAAAUGUUUAUUCCUGGAGCAAGUCCUUGUUGGUGUGUGACUUAUUUCUGGUUGUUUGUUUACAAUAGUAGUCUUUCAGAUUUUAUUUUGGUUUUACACUUUUCUUGGACCUUUUAAUCUUUUCUUGGACCUUUUAAUCAUUGGACGAGACAAAUGCCUUGGAAGCUUUAUGGAUCUUACACUGGUCAUUUUUGUUAGUUGACAAGUGACUUCUACACAGACUUUGGAUUAUCUGCUAGAUCUGUUUUCUAUGCAACUGAUUUUACAUCAAGACCUAAACCAUUGUCAGUUUGUCACCUCUCGCUUAAGCUAAAGCUACUGUAUAUUGAAAAAUUGAUCUUAACAGAGAAUAAGACAUUAAACGAAUCUUUUUCUUACCAUCCCUUUGGCUUCUGGUGAGCUUUCUACUACCCUGUUUAUUGUACUCUUCUCUAAAUAUC
Molecule: unclassified non-coding RNA, 494 nt
Filed under: Hevea brasiliensis (rubber tree)
Lineage: Eukaryota; Viridiplantae; Streptophyta; Magnoliopsida; Malpighiales; Euphorbiaceae
Source: RNAcentral